ACGACGCUGGCGGCGUGGAUUAGGCAUGCAAGUCGAACGGCAGCACAGCAGUAGCAAUACUGUGGGUGGCGAGUGGCGGACGGGUGAGGAAUACGUCGGAAUCUGCCCAGUCGUGGGGGAUAACUAGCCGAAAGGUUAGCUAAUACCGCAUACGACCGAGAGGUGAAAGCGGGGGACCGCAAGGCCUCGCGCGAUUGGAUGAGCCGACGUCGGAUUAGCUAGUUGGCGGGGUAAAGGCCCACCAAGGCGACGAUCCGUAGCUGGUCUGAGAGGAUGAUCAGCCACACUGGAACUGAGACACGGUCCAGACUCCUACGGGAGGCAGCAGUGGGGAAUAUUGGACAAUGGGCGCAAGCCUGAUCCAGCAAUGCCGCGUGUGUGAAGAAGGCCUUCGGGUUGUAAAGCACUUUUAUCAGGAACGAAAAGCGUUGGAUUAAUACUCUGACGUGCUGACGGUACCUGAGGAAUAAGCACCGGCUAACUACGUG
RNAcentral lists this ribosomal RNA (488 nucleotides) under uncultured bacterium. RNAcentral's name for it is "bacterial SSU rRNA". It matches the Rfam family "Bacterial small subunit ribosomal RNA", at positions 33 to 507 of the family's 1533-position model. The record is from RNAcentral.